RNAcentral lists this unclassified non-coding RNA (316 nucleotides) under fungal sp. RNAcentral's name for it is "partial internal transcribed spacer region". Lineage: Eukaryota; Fungi. The record is from RNAcentral.
AAGUCGUAACAAGGUUUUCGUAGGUGAACUUGUGGAAGGAUUAUUACAGUAGUAAUGCCCACGGCGAGCUUCGUCUAAAAAACGGUUGCUUCCCGUAUAGGAUUUCAUCCCUGUCCGCAAGGGUGGUGGAGCGAUCUGUGUAACCCUUUGUGAAAACCCCCAAGUUGUUUCGGCAGCUCGCCAACUCUUAACGGGGGCGGCGGUCAGCCUGUCGACGGCACCUUUUGAAAACUCAUUUAUGUAACUUAGCAGUAAUACGUUUGAGCGUAAAGUUGAAUUGAUUAUAAAACUUUUAACAACGGAUCUCUUGGUUCCC